Octodon degus (degu) is the source of this 102-nucleotide small nucleolar RNA. RefSeq annotates it as small nucleolar RNA U13. The transcript has a single exon. NCBI's taxonomy places the organism in Eukaryota, Metazoa, Chordata, Mammalia, Rodentia, Octodontidae. The record is from RefSeq and is a predicted model, not a curated record.
AUACUUCGGAUCAUGAGUGAGACGAUUGGGUGUUCAUGUCUUACGCAUGAGAUGUGCCGCCCUCAAACCUUGCUACGACGUGGGCACAUUACCCAUCGAACG